This 250-nucleotide ribosomal RNA is filed under the name uncultured bacterium. RNAcentral's name for it is "partial 16S ribosomal RNA". It matches the Rfam family "Bacterial small subunit ribosomal RNA", at positions 524 to 773 of the family's 1533-position model. The record is from RNAcentral.
UACGGAGGAUCCAAGCGUUAUCCGGAUUUAUUGGGUUUAAAGGGUGCGUAGGCGGCGCUUUAAGUUAGAGGUGAAAUCCCGUUGCUCAACAACGGAACUGCCUCUGAUACUGGAGUGCUAGAGAGUAGAUGCUGUGGGCGGAAUGUGUGGUGUAGCGGUGAAAUGCUUAGAGAUCACACAGAACACCGAUUGCGAAGGCAGCUCACAAAACUACAUCUGACGCUGAGGCACGAAAGCGUGGGGAGCAAAC